AGACAGACGGACAGAGGGUGCACGGGGCGGACAGACAGGCUGCAGGAGGCGGAUGGGCAGGGGCGCAUGGACAGAAGAGGGCGCAGGGAAUACACGGACAGACGGACAGACAGGAAGGUGCGGGGACAGACAGACGGACAGAGGGUGCACGGGGCGGAUGGACAGGGGCGCAGGGAAUACAUGGACGGACAGACAGACAGGAAGGUGCGGGGACAGACAGACGGACAGAGGGUGCACGGGGCGGACAGAGGGUGCAGGGGAGGAAGGGAUGAGCGCAUGGAUGCACAGAGGGACAGAGGCUGCAGGAGGCGGAUGGACAGGGGCGCAUGGACAGACAGAGGGUGCAGGGAAUACACAGACGGACAGACGGAAAGGUGCGGGGACAGACAGACGGACAGAGGGUGCACGGCGCGGACAGAGGAGGGCGCAGGGAAUACACAGACGGACCGACAGGAAGGUGCGGGGACAGACAGACGGACAGAGGGUGCACGGGGCGGACAGAGGGUGCAGGGGAGGAAAGGAUGGGCGCAUGGAUGCACAGAGGGACAGAGGCUGCAGGAGGCGGACGGACAGGGGCGC
This is a long non-coding RNA of Gopherus flavomarginatus (Mexican gopher tortoise), 579 nucleotides long. RefSeq lists it as uncharacterized. NCBI's taxonomy places the organism in Eukaryota, Metazoa, Chordata, Testudines, Testudinidae. The transcript has 3 exons. The record is from RefSeq and is a predicted model, not a curated record.